AUUGAACGCUGGCGGCAUGCCUUACACAUGCAAGUCGAACGGUAACAGGUCUUCGGAUGCUGGCGAGUGGCGAACGGGUGAGUAAUACAUCGGAACGUGCCCGAUCGUGGGGAAUAACGAAGCGAAAGCUUUGCUAAUACCGCAUAAGAUCUACGGAUGAAAGCAGGGGACCGCAAGGCCUUGCGCGAACGGAGCGGCCGAUGGCAGAUUAGGUAGUUGGUGGGAUAAAAGCUUACCAAGCCGACGAUCUGUAGCUGGUCUGAGAGGACGACCAGCCACACUGGGACUGAGACACGGCCCAGACUCCUACGGGAGGCAGCAGUGGGGAAUUUUGGACAAUGGGCGAAAGCCUGAUCCAACCAUGCCGCGUGCAGGAUGAAGGCCUUCGGGUUGUAAACUGCUUUUGUACGGAACGAAAAGACUCUUUCUAAUAAAGAGGGUCCAUGACGGUACCGUAAGAAUAAGCACCGGCUAACUACGUGCCAGCCGCCGCGGUAA
This 498-nucleotide ribosomal RNA is filed under the name uncultured bacterium. RNAcentral describes it as "partial 16S ribosomal RNA". It matches the Rfam family "Bacterial small subunit ribosomal RNA", at positions 30 to 523 of the family's 1533-position model. The record is from RNAcentral.